GCUACGGGUGGCAGCAGUGAGGAAUAUUGGUCAAUGGACGAGAGUCUGAACCAGCCAAGUAGCGUGAAGGAUGACUGCCCUAUGGGUUGUAAACUUCUUUUAUAUGGGAAUAAAAUGUUCCACGUGUGGGAUUUUGUAUGUACAAUAUGAAUAAGGAUCGGCUAACUCCGUGCCAGGAGCCGCGGUAAUACGGGGGAUCCGAGCGUUAUCCGGAUUUAUUGGGUUGAAAGGGAGAGUAGGGUGAUGGUUAAGUCAGUUGUGACAGUUUGAGGCUCAAACGUAAAAUUGCAGUGGAAACUGGCAGUCUUGAGUACAGUAGAGGUGGGCGGAAUUCGUGGUGUAGCGGUGAAAUGCUUAGAUAUCACGAAGAACUCCGAUUGCGAAGGCAGUUCACUGGACUGCAACUGACACGGAGGCUCGAAAGUGUGGGUAUCAAACAGGAUUAGAUACCCGGGUAGUC
RNAcentral lists this ribosomal RNA (460 nucleotides) under uncultured bacterium. RNAcentral's name for it is "partial 16S ribosomal RNA". It matches the Rfam family "Bacterial small subunit ribosomal RNA", at positions 338 to 795 of the family's 1533-position model. The record is from RNAcentral.